GUUCCUUUGAGGACAUCCGAUAAAAUUGGAAUGAUACAAAUAUGAUUAGCAUGACCGUUGUGUAAAAGAUAUAACACGAAAUGUACUGAAUUAGAUAUAUAUUU
Salvia hispanica is the source of this 104-nucleotide non-coding RNA. The record is from RefSeq and is a predicted model, not a curated record. Lineage: Eukaryota; Viridiplantae; Streptophyta; Magnoliopsida; Lamiales; Lamiaceae.